Astatotilapia calliptera (eastern happy) is the source of this 539-nucleotide long non-coding RNA. Lineage: Eukaryota; Metazoa; Chordata; Actinopteri; Cichliformes; Cichlidae. The record is from Ensembl.
CCAGGAGGGGGAACCAAAACAAGCAAAGUUCAGGCCAAGCCCUUCCCCUUUCAUGUCCUCUGAGUAUCCAAAGGCCAUGGAUGAAACAGACAGUUUCUUCAUGCUGGAGCCAACAGAGCACACCAAUGGCUCCUUUCUGGCUGUUCUUACCAGAGUGCCUGAGCCAGCAGUCAAAGAGGCACCAAACGAGGUGAUCGCCAGGGCAAAUGCAAAAGGCAUACUGGACAAACUGGGCUCCAACCACCUUACUAGAAAAGAACAACACGAAAACAGCAGCAGGAUGAAAAAAGCAGCCAGUGUUCGCACUACCCAGUCCCAGCUCUCUGUCAGCAUUCAGCCCAAGCAUCAUCAGACCAAGAGGAGUGACAGCGCUGUGCUCUGUGGACAUCAGGAUUUUACUAACAUGAAGCAGUCUUCACAAGAAAAACCCAAAUCACUGCGCUUGCAAGCCACAAAGGGCACCACAUCAAGCUCGUUCUCUUACUCCAGACCAGAAUGCAACAGCGCUUCCUGUUCCUCCUCCAAACUAGAAAAAAGCU